UCCACACCUGGAGUGAUGGGUCCUUAAAGUC
RNAcentral lists this non-coding RNA (31 nucleotides) under Homo sapiens (human). Lineage: Eukaryota; Metazoa; Chordata; Mammalia; Primates; Hominidae. The record is from RNAcentral.